AGUGAACGCUGGCGGUAGGCCUAACACAUGCAAGUCGAACGGCAGCACAGUAAGAGCUUGCUCUUACGGGUGGCGAGUGGCGGACGGGUGAGGAAUACAUCGGAAUCUACUUUUUCGUGGGGGAUAACGUAGGGAAACUUACGCUAAUACCGCAUACGACCUACGGGUGAAAGCAGGGGAUCUUCGGACCUUGCGCGAUUGAAUGAGCCGAUGUCGGAUUAGCUAGUUGGCGGGUUAAAGGCCCACCAAGGCGACGAUCCGUAGCUGGUCUGAGAGGAUGAUCAGCCACACUGGAACUGAGACACGGUCCAGACUCCUACGGGAGGCAGCAGUGGGGAAUAUUGGACAAUGGGCGCAAGCCUGAUCCAGCCAUACCGCGUGGGUGAAGAAGGCCUUCGGGCUGUAAAGCCCUUUUGUUGGGAAAAAAAAGCAGCAGGUUAAUACCCCGCUGUUCUGACGGUACCCAAAGAAUAAGCACCGGCUAACUUCGUG
Molecule: ribosomal RNA, 492 nt
Filed under: uncultured bacterium
Lineage: Bacteria
Description: partial 16S ribosomal RNA
Rfam family: Bacterial small subunit ribosomal RNA
Source: RNAcentral